This 421-nucleotide ribosomal RNA is filed under the name uncultured bacterium. RNAcentral describes it as "partial 16S ribosomal RNA". It matches the Rfam family "Bacterial small subunit ribosomal RNA", at positions 360 to 773 of the family's 1533-position model. The record is from RNAcentral.
AAUCUUCCGCAAUGGACGCAAGUCUGACGGAGCAACGCCGCGUGUGUGAAGAAGGUCNNNGGAUCNUAAAGCACUGUUAUUAGNGAANAACAACCGGUAGAGUAACUGUUACCGGCUUGACGGUAUCUCACCAGUAAGCCACCGCUAACUACGUUGCAGCAGCCGCGGUAAUACGCAGGUGGCGAGAGUUAUCCGGAUGUAUUGGGCGUAAAGGGAGCGCAGGUGGUGAUUUAAGUCUGAUGUGAUAGCCCACGGCUCAACCGUGGAAGGUCAUUGGAAACUGAAUCACUUGAGUGCAGAAGAGGAAAGUGGAAUUCAAUGUGUAGCGGUGAAAUGCGUAGAUAUAUGGAGGAACACCAGUGGCGAAGGCGACUUUCUGGUCUGUAACUGACACUGAGGCUCGAAAGCGUGGGGAGCAAAC